Molecule: microRNA, 20 nt
Filed under: Corchorus capsularis
Lineage: Eukaryota; Viridiplantae; Streptophyta; Magnoliopsida; Malvales; Malvaceae
Description: sRNA CCACVL1_15740
Source: RNAcentral
GAUUUUUUUGUUUUCUUUUU